GUCUACGGCCAUGCCACCCUGAACGCGCCCGAUCCCGUCUGAUCGCGGACGCUAAGCAGGGUCGGGCCCGGUUCGUACUUGGAUGGGAGACCGCCUAGGAAGACCGGGUGCUGUAGGUG
This 119-nucleotide ribosomal RNA is filed under the name Pteropus alecto (black flying fox). Lineage: Eukaryota; Metazoa; Chordata; Mammalia; Chiroptera; Pteropodidae. The record is from RNAcentral.